UAACCGCAAGCUCCACCUGUUAUGGUGCUCCCCCCGCCAAUCCUUUAAGUUCAGCCUUGCGGCCGUACUUCCCAGGUGGCUCGCUUCACGGCUUCCCUACGGCACCGACAACGGUCGCACCGUGGCCGACACCUAGCGAGUAUCGUUUACGGCUAGGACUACCCGGGUAUCUAAUCCGGUUCGUGCCCCUAGCUUUCGUCCCUUGCCGUCAGGUCCGUUCUGGUGAGACGCCUUCGCCACUGGUGGUCCUUCAAGGAUUACAAGAUUUCACCCCUACCCCUGAAGUACCUCUCACCUCUCCCGGCCUCGAGCCGAACAGUAUCUCCUGAAAGCCCAACAGUUGAGCUGCUGGAUUUCUCAAGAGACUUAUCCGGCCGGCUACAGACCCUUUAGACCCAAUAAUAACGGUUACCACUCGAGCCGCCGGUGUUACCGCGGCGGCUGGCACCGGUCUUGCCCGGCCCUUGCUAUGCAAUGCUUUUUAUGCAUCACGACAGCCAGAUUUGUAACCUGGCACUCGAGGUCCCCUUAUCGCCUUU
This 539-nucleotide ribosomal RNA is filed under the name uncultured archaeon. RNAcentral's name for it is "partial 16S ribosomal RNA". The record is from RNAcentral.